RNAcentral lists this microRNA precursor (67 nucleotides) under Mesocestoides corti. RNAcentral's name for it is "microRNA mco-mir-12068 precursor". The record is from miRBase by way of RNAcentral. Lineage: Eukaryota; Metazoa; Platyhelminthes; Cestoda; Cyclophyllidea; Mesocestoididae.
UACCCUCACCGGUCGUGCAAGGUGGGACACAGCUCGCACUAGGCUUUGUACUACUGGCGAGGGUAGU